This 358-nucleotide ribosomal RNA is filed under the name Methanobacteriota archaeon. RNAcentral's name for it is "bacterial SSU rRNA". It matches the Rfam family "Archaeal small subunit ribosomal RNA", at positions 1 to 361 of the family's 1478-position model. The record is from RNAcentral. Lineage: Archaea; Methanobacteriati; Methanobacteriota.
AAAUCCGGUUGAUCCUGCCGGAGGCGACCGCUAUUGGAAUUCGAUUAAGCCAUGCGAGUCGAGAGUCCUCGGGACUCGGCAUACUGCUCAGUAACACGUGGAUAACCUGCCCUGUUCUAGGGGAUAACCUCGAGAAAUUGAGAAUAAUACCCUAUAGUCCACUACGCCUGGAACGGUGAGUGGAUAAAAGCUCCGGCGGAACAGGAUGGGUCUGCGGCAUAUCAGGUAGUAGUGGGUGUAAUGGACCCACUAGCCUUCGACGUGUACGGGUGUUGGGAGACAUAGCCCGGAGAUGGAUUCUGAGACACGAAUCCAGACCCUACGGGGUGCAGCAGGCGCGAAAACUUCACACUGCGGG